GCAAGUCUGGUGCCAGCAGCCGCGGUAAUUCCAGCUCCAAUAGCGUAUAUUAAAGUUGUUGCAGUUAAAAAGCUCGUAGUUGAACCUCGAGAUCAAUGGAUCGGUCAUGCCAUCGGUAUGUACUGGUCUCAUUGGUUCUCACCUUCUAAGGAACCAUGAUGUCAUUCAGUUGAUGUUGUGGGGAAUUAGGACUGUUACCUUGAAAAAAUUAGAGUGUUUAAAGCAGGCUAACGCUUGAAUACAUUAGCAUGGAAUAAUGAAAUAGGACAUCGCAUUCUAUUUUGUUGGUUUCUAGGAUCGAUGUAAUGAUUAAUAGGGAUAGUUGGGGGCAUUAGUAUUCAAUUGUCAGAGGUGAAAUUCUUGGAUUUAUUGAAGACUAACUACUGCGAAAGCAUUUGCCAAGGAUGUUUUCAUUAAUCAAGAACGAAAGUUAGGGGAUCGAAGACGAUCAGAUACCGUCGUAGUCUUAACCAUAAACUACGCCGACUAGGGAUCGGAUGAUGUUGAUUUUUUAAUGACUCAUUCGGCGCCUUACGGGAAAC
RNAcentral lists this ribosomal RNA (542 nucleotides) under uncultured Glomeromycotina. RNAcentral describes it as "SSU rRNA". It matches the Rfam family "Eukaryotic small subunit ribosomal RNA", at positions 555 to 1098 of the family's 1831-position model. The record is from RNAcentral. Lineage: Eukaryota; Fungi; Glomeromycota.